UAGCUUAGAUGGUAAAGCGUCUGCCUACAAUGUGGGAGACCCAGGUUAGAUCCCUGG
Molecule: transfer RNA, 57 nt
Filed under: Ovis aries (sheep)
Lineage: Eukaryota; Metazoa; Chordata; Mammalia; Artiodactyla; Bovidae
Rfam family: tRNA
About the family: Transfer RNA (tRNA) molecules are approximately 80 nucleotides in length. Their secondary structure includes four short double-helical elements and three loops (D, anti-codon, and T loops). Further hydrogen bonds mediate the characteristic L-shaped molecular structure. tRNAs have two regions of fundamental functional importance: the anti-codon, which is responsible for specific mRNA codon recognition, and the 3' end, to which the tRNAs corresponding amino acid is attached (by aminoacyl-tRNA synthetases). tRNAs cope with the degeneracy of the genetic code in two manners: having more than one tRNA (with a specific anti-codon) for a particular amino acid; and 'wobble' base-pairing, i.e. permitting non-standard base-pairing at the 3rd anti-codon position.
Source: Rfam by way of RNAcentral